RNAcentral lists this ribosomal RNA (255 nucleotides) under uncultured bacterium. RNAcentral describes it as "partial 16S ribosomal RNA". It matches the Rfam family "Bacterial small subunit ribosomal RNA", at positions 524 to 776 of the family's 1533-position model. The record is from RNAcentral.
UACAGGAGGUCCCGAGCGUUGUUCGGAUUCACUGGGCGUAAAGGGUGCGUAGGUGGUUAGGUAAGUCCGAUGGUGAAAUCUCCAGGCUCAACCUGGAAAUGGCAUUGGAUACUAUUUAGCUUGAGGAGUGGAGGGGGGACUGGAAUUCUCGGUGUAGCAGUGAAAUGCGUAGAUAUCGAGAGGAACACCAGUGGCGAAGGCGAGUCCCUGGACACUUCCUGACACUGAGGCACGAAAGCUAGGGGAGCAAACAGG